This 379-nucleotide ribosomal RNA is filed under the name uncultured eukaryote. RNAcentral describes it as "partial 18S ribosomal RNA". It matches the Rfam family "Eukaryotic small subunit ribosomal RNA", at positions 592 to 975 of the family's 1831-position model. The record is from RNAcentral.
CAAUAGCGUAUAUUUAAGUUGUUGCAGUUAAAAAGCUCGUAGUUGGAUUUCUGCUGAGAACGACCGGUCCGCCCUCUGGGUGUGUAUCUGGCUCUUUCUUGGCAUCUUCUUGGUGAACGUUGCUGCACUUGACUGUGUGGAGCGCUACCCAGGACUUUUACUUUGAGGAAAUUAGAGUGUUUCAAGCAGGCAUACGCCUUGAAUACAUUAGCAUGGAAUAAUAAGAUAGGACCUCGGUUCUAUUUUGUUGGUUUCUAGAGCUGAGGUAAUGAUUAAUAGGGAUAGUUGGGGGCAUUCGUAUUUAACUGUCAGAGGUGAAAUUCUUGGAUUUGUUAAAGACGGACUACUGCGAANGNAUUUGGNAAGGAUGUUUNCAUUG